CCCAUGUGUCAUGUCCUUGCUCUUAGAGAAUGAGUGGAAAGCUGGGCAUCCUGAGACUGUCCUUGGGCUACAACAGAGCCGUGCACGUAUCUGGGAAACAAGCCCUGUAGCAGCUCUGGAGAAGCCAUUCCUCAAGGAGAGCUACCUGCUGCAAUACUCUCCAAAUGAACUUCCUGUAAGGACGGGCGCCUGUUUUGAGGUAGGGCAUUCCCAAAGUACCACCAAAUGUUGGUGAGUAUCACUGAAUGGUUCUCAAGUGGUUCACAGUUUGGACUUUUAUUUGGGGAAAGAAAUGGUCACAGUGACUGACAUUAAUGGGUAAAGGCAUGGGAGGUAAAUGAAUCCUACAAUAUGAUCAUAGUCUUUUCCCGUGAAGCGCUGUCACACCCAAAAGGCCAACAGUGCUAGUCCUUGAAAGAGACAUUAAGCUGUUGUCACCUGGUAUAGUAACAAAGAUAAAAACUUCAUUUGUCAUGUAUUUUUUCUGCUACAGAACAUGUCAGAUAAUUUCAGCAUAUUUUGCCAGAUACAAAGAAUAUUUAUAUUGCACAAAAAUAUUUCAGUGAAAACCCAG
Molecule: long non-coding RNA, 574 nt
Filed under: Heterocephalus glaber (naked mole-rat)
Lineage: Eukaryota; Metazoa; Chordata; Mammalia; Rodentia; Bathyergidae
Description: lncRNA (ENSHGLG00100043916.1)
Source: RNAcentral